Molecule: long non-coding RNA, 1803 nt
Filed under: Theobroma cacao (cacao)
Lineage: Eukaryota; Viridiplantae; Streptophyta; Magnoliopsida; Malvales; Malvaceae
Description: long non-coding RNA (TCAC_LNC001455)
Source: RNAcentral
GGGCCUACAUCUAACCAAAAUGCAUCGAAAGCUGGAAACCUACAGCUUUAACCGAUUCGAGUCCAAAUGAAGGUUCUUGUCAAGUCAGCUAACUACGAAAUUCCCUGAGCCUGAAAUGUGAGGAAAUGAGGGUGGUGAGAUUAUAAAAUCUCAGUGAGUAAACAGAUACCAUCUAAACUAUCUAAAGUCGAGUAAAUAUAAACAAUUGAAAUAAGUCAUCAUACUGUAAUUUCAUUACCUUUCAACUCAUAUCAACCAAAUAAAAUCAAUCCAUAUAAAUCGAGUAAUCAACUUGGCUUAUGAAUUUCUUAAAAUUUUGGCUCGUUCUAGAACUCAUACUCGGUGAUACCUUGCGCAGGGCAUUCAAUCGAGUCCGCCAAGGCUGUUAAAAUUUUUGUAUACACUUAAAAUAUAUUUUUAGUUUGAGAAAAAUACAGUCGUUCCUUGGCGUUGGCUGAGUUCCCCUUCACGUGGUGGUUUGGCGUGAAGUGAACCCUAAGCUUUACCCUAUGAGAUACCCUACGCGCCUCUCCGUUCGAGGCAAGAAUAUAAUGUAGUUUACCGUGCCCCUCUAAUAGGCUGGUCCACGGAACCCCCUGUGUAGUGAAUAAUUAAUAUAUACUCCACCAAUCAAUAAAAUUCAUUCUAGCAUGACAUGGCAAUUUAUCGCAACCUAGCAUCUCAAAGCUGAAUACUCAAUACAAAUAUUUCUAACACCAAAAUCAGUUUAGCCAUUCAUGCUCAUAUAUUGUCAUAAGUCAUUCAAUUUAAAACCAUAAAUUUACAACACAAACAGGCAAUCUCUAAUUACUCUAUUUUCAAAACCAGUAUUCGAUUUUUCCAGAAAAUUUAUAAAAUCAUUUUAUAAAAUCGUAAUUUCUCCUAAAACAUAGCAAUUUACCAUUUAAACCCAUUUUUCAUAAAAUCACACAAUUGUAUAAAACUACUCUAAAUAAUUAAGACGAUAAUAAGUUCACUCACAGUUCUAGGAGUCGAUGUACUCCUAAUCCCAAUCUCCAAGCACAAUCUUUGUACUUUUUUCAGUGUACUUUGCUCACCACCUAUCCACAAUGUACAAUACAUAAUUCACCACAUCAAUGCUUGACCAUUAUAAAAUUAAUUCAGGCUCGGUAUAUAUGCAUGAUAUGAUAUACAACUUAUCCGACUACUGCUUAAAUGCGGUGCUGACCUAAUUCAGCCUAUUAUCUCCAAUUUAACUCCAAAUCAAUUCUUCUCACUUUCUACACUCCAAUUAUACGUAAAUUACCUUAGUGACUGUGAAUGAGAUUCAAUUUAUCAGUCUAGAUAGUAAAUUACGAAAAUACCCCUAGUGGGUAAAAAUUCAUAUUUUUGCUCCGAAAACUCCCAUUAUUUUUUUAGGCUCAUAAUUCAUUAUUAUUCAUCAUAAUUCCUCAAAUAAACAUCAAGAUCAGCAGCCAAUAUUCUCCUAAAAAAUUCGGCCAAUAAUGGUAAUGGAGGAAAAUAAAUUCUUUUCUUAUUGUUUUGUUCCUAAAUAUGCUAAACUAACUAAAAACACUAACAUAACUUAAAUUCAAAUUAAUCUAUCAACUUUCUCUCUCCUAACCCAUUUUGAUCAGCCAUCAAUUCAUCAUGAAAACAUGUAAUUUAAGCAUGGAAAAUAAGGAGAAAUGCUUAAGGAAAAUAGAUUUCAAGUUUAAGUUGAAAAAUCCUACCUUUUUCACUUGUUUUCCUUGAUUUUCCAUACUUUUUCUCUUGAAAUUCCUCACCUAGGGUUUGUUCUUCCUCUCUUUCUCUCUCUUCCUUGCUUGGCCGAAUAUUUGG